RNAcentral lists this ribosomal RNA (1266 nucleotides) under Christensenella hongkongensis. RNAcentral's name for it is "bacterial SSU rRNA". It matches the Rfam family "Bacterial small subunit ribosomal RNA", at positions 79 to 1361 of the family's 1533-position model. The record is from RNAcentral. Lineage: Bacteria; Bacillati; Bacillota; Clostridia; Christensenellales; Christensenellaceae.
ACUGUGAGUAUACUUAGUGGCGGACGGGUGAGUAACGCGUGAGCAAUCUGCCCUGCAAUGGGGGACAACAGUUGGAAACGACUGCUAAUACCGCAUAAGACCACGAAACCGCAUGGUUUAGAGGUAAAAGGAUUCAUUCGAUGCAGGAUGAGCUCGCGUCCCAUUAGAUAGUUGGUGAGGUAACGGCCCACCAAGUCAACGAUGGGUAGCCGACCUGAGAGGGUGAUCGGCCACAUUGGAACUGAGAAACGGUCCAAACUCCUACGGGAGGCAGCAGUGGGGAAUAUUGGGCAAUGGGGGAAACCCUGACCCAGCAACGCCGCGUGAAGGAAGAAGGCCUUCGGGUUGUAAACUUUUGUCCUAUGGGACGAAAAAAAUGACGGUACCAUAGGAGGAAGCUCCGGCUAACUACGUGCCAGCAGCCGCGGUAAUACGUAGGGAGCAAGCGUUGUCCGGAAUUACUGGGCGUAAAGGGUGCGUAGGUGGCCAUGUAAGUCAGGUGUGAAAGACCGGGGCUCAACCCCGGGGUUGCACUUGAAACUGUGUGGCUUGAGUACAGGAGAGGGAAGUGGAAUUCCUAGUGUAGCGGUGAAAUGCGUAGAUAUUAGGAGGAACACCAGUGGCGAAGGCGACUUUCUGGACUGUAACUGACACUGAGGCACGAAAGCGUGGGGAGCAAACAGGAUUAGAUACCCUGGUAGUCCACGCCGUAAACGAUGGAUACUAGGUGUGGGGGGCGAUAGUCCUCCGUGCCGAAGCUAACGCAUUAAGUAUCCCGCCUGGGGAGUACGAUCGCAAGGUUGAAACUCAAAGGAAUUGACGGGGGCCCGCACAAGCAGCGGAGCAUGUGGUUUAAUUCGAAGCAACGCGAAGAACCUUACCAAGGCUUGACAUCCUCUGACGCAUAUAGAGAUAUAUGUUCCCUUCGGGGCAGAGAGACAGGUGGUGCAUGGUUGUCGUCAGCUCGUGUCGUGAGAUGUUGGGUUAAGUCCCGCAACGAGCGCAACCCUUGUUGCUAGUUGCCAGCACGUAAAGGUGGGAACUCUAGUGAGACUGCCGGGGACAACUCGGAGGAAGGUGGGGACGACGUCAAAUCAUCAUGCCCCUUAUGUCUUGGGCUACACACGUGCUACAAUGGCCGGUACAAAGGGCAGCGACCUCGUAAGAGUAAGCGAAUCUCAAAAAGCCGGCCCCAGUUCGGAUUGUGGGCUGCAACCCGCCCACAUGAAGUCGGAGUUGCUAGUAAUCGCGAAUCAGCAUGUCGCG